Molecule: ribosomal RNA, 754 nt
Filed under: Circinotrichum maculiforme
Lineage: Eukaryota; Fungi; Ascomycota; Sordariomycetes; Xylariales; Coniocessiaceae
Description: partial large subunit ribosomal RNA
Rfam family: Eukaryotic large subunit ribosomal RNA
Source: RNAcentral
AGGGAUUCCCCUAGUAACGGCGAGUGAAGCGGGAACAGCUCAAAUUUGAAAGCUGGCCUUCUGGUCCGCAUUGUAAUUUGUAGAGGAUGCUUUUGGCGCGGUGCCUUCUGAGUUCCUUGGAACAGGACGCCUUAGAGGGUGAGAGCCCCGUACAGUUGGACACCUAGCCUUUGUAAAGCUCCUUCGACGAGUCGAGUAGUUUGGGAAUGCUGCUCUAAAUGGGAGGUAAAUUUCUUCUAAAGCUAAAUACCGGCCAGAGACCGAUAGCGCACAAGUAGAGUGAUCGAAAGAUGAAAAGCACUUUGAAAAGAGGGUUAAAUAGCACGUGAAAUUGUUGAAAGGGAAGCGCUUAUGACCAGACUUUUUCCUGGCGAAUCAUCCGGCGUUCUCGCCGGUGCACUUCGCCAGGUUUAGGCCAACAUCGAUUUCCGCCGGGGGAUAAAGGCUUCGGGAAUGUGACUCCCUCCGGGGAGUGUUAUAGCCCGUUGCGUAAUACCCUGGUGGGGAUCGAGGUUCGCGCUUCGGCAAGGAUGUUGGCAUAAUGGUCAUCAGUGACCCGUCUUGAAACACGGACCAAGGAGUCGAACAUUUAUGCGAGUGUUUGGGUGUUAAACCCUCACGCGUAAUGAAAGUGAACGGAGGUGAGAGCCUUAGGGUGCAUCAUCGACCGAUCCUGAUGUCUUCGGAUGGAUUUGAGUAAGAGCAUAACUGUUCGGACCCGAAAGAUGGUGAACUAUGCGUGGAUAGGGUGAAG